GACGAACGCUGGCGGCAGGCUUAACACAUGCAAGUCGAACGCCCCGCAAGGGGAGUGGCAGACGGGUGAGUAACACGUGGGAACAUGCCCAAAGGUACGGAAUAUUCUCGGGAAACUGGGAGCAAUACCGUAUGUGCCCGAAAGGGGAAAGAUUUAUCGCCUUUGGAUUGGCCCGCGUUGGAUUAGCUAGUUGGUGGGGUAAAAGCCUACCAAGGCGACGAUCCAUAGCUGGUCCGAGAGGACGACCACGCCACACU
This 257-nucleotide ribosomal RNA is filed under the name uncultured bacterium. Its description in RNAcentral is "partial 16S ribosomal RNA". It matches the Rfam family "Bacterial small subunit ribosomal RNA", at positions 28 to 314 of the family's 1533-position model. The record is from RNAcentral.